This 450-nucleotide ribosomal RNA is filed under the name Tricorythodes sierramaestrae. RNAcentral describes it as "partial 16S ribosomal RNA". It matches the Rfam family "Bacterial large subunit ribosomal RNA", at positions 1823 to 2598 of the family's 2925-position model. Lineage: Eukaryota; Metazoa; Arthropoda; Insecta; Ephemeroptera; Leptohyphidae. The record is from RNAcentral.
UUUCUUUUUGAAAGUAUAAAAGGUACAGCCUGCUCACUGAGUUUUAAAGAGCCGCGGUAUCUUGACCGUGCAAAGGUAGCAUAAUCAUUAGUUUUUUAAUUGAAGACUGGAAUGAAAGGUUUAACGAAAAUUUAGCUGUCUCUUAAUAAUGCAUUUAAUUUUAUUUUAUAGUGAAAAAGCUAUAAUGUGGUAAAAGGACGAGAAGACCCCGUAGAGCUUUAUAAUUUUUAGAUAAUUGGUAAUAGAAGUGAGGAAUUAUUGUAUUGGGGUGGAACAUUUUAAAUGAGUAUUAGAUCUAAAAUAACAAAAGAUUAAGUUACCUUGGGGAUAACAGCGUAAUUAUUUUGGAGAGCCCAAAUUGAUGGAAUAGAUUGCGACCUCGAUGUUGGAUUAGAAGAAUGUUUAAAGUAAAAAUUAAAUUGAGUAGUCUGUUCGACUAAUAAAUUUCUA